Molecule: ribosomal RNA, 1541 nt
Filed under: Salmonella enterica subsp. enterica serovar Adelaide
Lineage: Bacteria; Pseudomonadati; Pseudomonadota; Gammaproteobacteria; Enterobacterales; Enterobacteriaceae
Description: bacterial SSU rRNA
Rfam family: Bacterial small subunit ribosomal RNA
Source: RNAcentral
AAAUUGAAGAGUUUGAUCAUGGCUCAGAUUGAACGCUGGCGGCAGGCCUAACACAUGCAAGUCGAACGGUAACAGGAAGCAGCUUGCUGCUUUGCUGACGAGUGGCGGACGGGUGAGUAAUGUCUGGGAAACUGCCUGAUGGAGGGGGAUAACUACUGGAAACGGUGGCUAAUACCGCAUAACGUCGCAAGACCAAAGAGGGGGCCUUCGGGCCUCUUGCCAUCAGAUGUGCCCAGAUGGGAUUAGCUAGUUGGUGAGGUAACGGCUCACCAAGGCGACGAUCCCUAGCUGGUCUGAGAGGAUGACCAGCCACACUGGAACUGAGACACGGUCCAGACUCCUACGGGAGGCAGCAGUGGGGAAUAUUGCACAAUGGGCGCAAGCCUGAUGCAGCCAUGCCGCGUGUAUGAAGAAGGCCUUCGGGUUGUAAAGUACUUUCAGCGGGGAGGAAGGUGUUGUGGUUAAUAACCGCAGCAAUUGACGUUACCCGCAGAAGAAGCACCGGCUAACUCCGUGCCAGCAGCCGCGGUAAUACGGAGGGUGCAAGCGUUAAUCGGAAUUACUGGGCGUAAAGCGCACGCAGGCGGUCUGUCAAGUCGGAUGUGAAAUCCCCGGGCUCAACCUGGGAACUGCAUUCGAAACUGGCAGGCUUGAGUCUUGUAGAGGGGGGUAGAAUUCCAGGUGUAGCGGUGAAAUGCGUAGAGAUCUGGAGGAAUACCGGUGGCGAAGGCGGCCCCCUGGACAAAGACUGACGCUCAGGUGCGAAAGCGUGGGGAGCAAACAGGAUUAGAUACCCUGGUAGUCCACGCCGUAAACGAUGUCUACUUGGAGGUUGUGCCCUUGAGGCGUGGCUUCCGGAGCUAACGCGUUAAGUAGACCGCCUGGGGAGUACGGCCGCAAGGUUAAAACUCAAAUGAAUUGACGGGGGCCCGCACAAGCGGUGGAGCAUGUGGUUUAAUUCGAUGCAACGCGAAGAACCUUACCUGGUCUUGACAUCCACAGAACUUUCCAGAGAUGGAUUGGUGCCUUCGGGAACUGUGAGACAGGUGCUGCAUGGCUGUCGUCAGCUCGUGUUGUGAAAUGUUGGGUUAAGUCCCGCAACGAGCGCAACCCUUAUCCUUUGUUGCCAGCGAUUAGGUCGGGAACUCAAAGGAGACUGCCAGUGAUAAACUGGAGGAAGGUGGGGAUGACGUCAAGUCAUCAUGGCCCUUACGACCAGGGCUACACACGUGCUACAAUGGCGCAUACAAAGAGAAGCGACCUCGCGAGAGCAAGCGGACCUCAUAAAGUGCGUCGUAGUCCGGAUUGGAGUCUGCAACUCGACUCCAUGAAGUCGGAAUCGCUAGUAAUCGUGGAUCAGAAUGCCACGGUGAAUACGUUCCCGGGCCUUGUACACACCGCCCGUCACACCAUGGGAGUGGGUUGCAAAAGAAGUAGGUAGCUUAACCUUCGGGAGGGCGCUUACCACUUUGUGAUUCAUGACUGGGGUGAAGUCGUAACAAGGUAACCGUAGGGGAACCUGCGGUUGGAUCACCUCCUUA